GGAGAGAUGUCCGAGAGGUCGAAGGAGCCUGACUCGAAAUCAGGUGUAUGGGCAACCGUACCAAGGGUUCGAAUCCCUUUCUCUCCG
Molecule: transfer RNA, 87 nt
Filed under: Myxococcota bacterium
Lineage: Bacteria; Pseudomonadati; Myxococcota
Description: tRNA-Ser
Rfam family: tRNA
About the family: Transfer RNA (tRNA) molecules are approximately 80 nucleotides in length. Their secondary structure includes four short double-helical elements and three loops (D, anti-codon, and T loops).
Source: RNAcentral